AUUGAACGCUGGCGGCAUGCUUUUACACAUGCAAGUCGGACGGCAGCACAGAGAAGCUUGCUUCUUGGGUGGCGAGUGGCGAACGGGUGAGUAACAUAUCGGAACGUACCGAGUAAUGGGGGAUAACUAAUCGAAAGAUUAGCUAAUACCGCAUAUUCUCUGAGGAGGAAAGCAGGGGACCUUCGGGCCUUGCGUUAUUCGAGCGGCCGAUAUCUGAUUAGCUAGUUGGUGGGGUAAAGGCCUACCAAGGCGACGAUCAGUAGCGGGUCUGAGAGGAUGAUCCGCCACACUGGGACUGAGACACGGCCCAGACUCCUACGGGAGGCAGCAGUGGGGAAUUUUGGACAAUGGGCGCAAGCCUGAUCCAGCCAUGCCGCGUGUCUGAAGAAGGCCUUCGGGUUGUAAAGGACUUUUGUCAGGGAAGAAAAGGCUGUUGCUAAUACCAACAGCUGAUGACGGUACCUGAAGAAUAAGCACCGGCUAACUACGUG
This 491-nucleotide ribosomal RNA is filed under the name uncultured bacterium. Its description in RNAcentral is "bacterial SSU rRNA". It matches the Rfam family "Bacterial small subunit ribosomal RNA", at positions 30 to 507 of the family's 1533-position model. The record is from RNAcentral.